GGUUUUGGCUCAGUGGUAGAGCGCUCGCCUAGCAUUUGGAGGCCCUGGGUUCAAUCCUCAGCACCA
RNAcentral lists this transfer RNA (66 nucleotides) under Marmota monax (woodchuck). RNAcentral describes it as "tRNA.Ala". Lineage: Eukaryota; Metazoa; Chordata; Mammalia; Rodentia; Sciuridae. The record is from RNAcentral.